AAAAGCUCUCUCCCCUUCCAGCUCGUCCGGCCAGAGGUCCGGUCAUCGGCCACCGCGCCGGUCGCCGAUCUCCGGCGCCGGCACCGCCGUAUGCGGUGGCCGAAAAAAGGGAAAACUCCCUAUUCGGCUCUUUCGGCCUCCCUUAACCCGAAUCCGGGCCCAAAUCCUUCGAAAAUUUAUGAAAAAUACCCUAAAAGCCCUCGGAACCUUUCGACUUCCGAUCGACUAUCCUUGGAGACGAACCUUGACCGUUCCUACGGCGAUUCAGAAGCAAACCAAAGUAAGUUCUUUACUCUCCGUUUUAUUAUGUUUUAGUAAAGUAAAAAAUAAAAAAAAUAAAAGAAAACAAAGAAAUAAUCGAUGCAAAAAUAAAAAUAUCAACCUUUUUGAGUUUUGGUUGAUUCUGUGUUUGUAAAAUAUCGUGCCUUUUUUAUUGAUUUUGAAUUUCGGAUCCCAUUACAAUAUUACAAUGGCUAUUUUAUAGCCGUAUGAAAUAAAUCUAAAAAGGAAACAAAUCCGUUUUUUGAUUUGAUUUACAAAUAUUUUGAUUCACUUUCCAUUUUCGUUUUUCCUUAAUGCACAGGUGAAGACCGAGGACGCUCGUGGCUUCGGCGCAAAGGCUUCCUCAGAAACCCUAAGGUUUCUGCAAAUGAUUUGGGCCACUGAGUUUUGGGCCCCUGUUGUAUUUCGGGUUUUGGGCCACAUAAGCCCAUUUGUAAUUCUGGCCCUUUAGACCCAGGCCAAAAUAAGGUGUUACAAUUCUAAUGUAAAUAUUAAAAUAAUGUUAAGAUGACAAUAUAAAUAUUUCAAUAAAUACAAAAAUAGAAUUAUUAAUUAUUA
Molecule: long non-coding RNA, 840 nt
Filed under: Gossypium barbadense (sea-island cotton)
Lineage: Eukaryota; Viridiplantae; Streptophyta; Magnoliopsida; Malvales; Malvaceae
Description: long non-coding RNA (GBAR_LNC022744)
Source: RNAcentral